RNAcentral lists this ribosomal RNA (643 nucleotides) under uncultured Actinomycetes bacterium. RNAcentral describes it as "bacterial SSU rRNA". It matches the Rfam family "Bacterial small subunit ribosomal RNA", at positions 232 to 885 of the family's 1533-position model. The record is from RNAcentral. Lineage: Bacteria; Bacillati; Actinomycetota; Actinomycetes.
CGCGGCCUAUCAGCUUGUUGGUGAGGUAAAGGCUCACCAAGGCGACGACGGGUAGCCGGCCCGAGAGGGUGACCGGCCACACUGGGACUGAGACACGGCCCAGACUCCUACGGGAGGCAGCAGUGGGGAAUAUUGCACAAUGGGCGCAAGCCUGAUGCAGCGACGCCGCGUGAGGGAUGACGGCCUUCGGGUUGUAAACCUCUUUCAGUAGGGAAGAAGCGAAAGUGACGGUACCUGCAGAAGAAGCACCGGCUAACUACGUGCCAGCAGCCGCGGUAAUACGUAGGGUGCGAGCGUUAUCCGGAAUUAUUGGGCGUAAAGAGCUCGUAGGCGGUUUGUCGCGUCUGUCGUGAAAGUCCGGGGCUUAACCCCGGAUCUGCGGUGGGUACGGGCAGACUAGAGUGCAGUAGGGGAGACUGGAAUUCCUGGUGUAGCGGUGGAAUGCGCAGAUAUCAGGAGGAACACCGAUGGCGAAGGCAGGUCUCUGGGCUGUAACUGACGCUGAGGAGCGAAAGCAUGAGGAGCGAACAGGAUUAGAUACCCUGGUAGUCCAUGCCGUAAACGUUGGGCACUAGGUGUGGGGACCAUUCCACGGUUUCCGCGCCGCAGCUAACGCAUUAAGUGCCCCGCCUGGGGAGUACGG